GCCAGUCUGGUGGAAUGGUAGACACAGCAGACUCAAAAUCUGCCAGGGGCGACCCUGUUCCGGUUCGAGUCCGGAGACUGGUACCA
Molecule: transfer RNA, 86 nt
Filed under: Geobacter sp.
Lineage: Bacteria; Pseudomonadati; Thermodesulfobacteriota; Desulfuromonadia; Geobacterales; Geobacteraceae
Description: tRNA-Leu
Rfam family: tRNA
About the family: Transfer RNA (tRNA) molecules are approximately 80 nucleotides in length. Their secondary structure includes four short double-helical elements and three loops (D, anti-codon, and T loops).
Source: RNAcentral